This is a non-coding RNA of Sus scrofa (pig), 3493 nucleotides long. NCBI's taxonomy places the organism in Eukaryota, Metazoa, Chordata, Mammalia, Artiodactyla, Suidae. The record is from RefSeq and is a predicted model, not a curated record.
UUUGAAGCGCUCGGCGCUCCCGCUGGAUCCCCCCACCACGGCGCCAAAGUGGUAGCUCCUGCACUGAGGGAAGGGGCUUCCCGGCUGCAACUUCGGCCGCAGGCCAAGGACCCGGGUGCCCCCAACAGCUCCUCCGGCGUCGGGAGCGGGGAAGAUCCGUCUUUCUUGGAUAAAUUUGGGAAACAAUGACCAGCUUGAGUCAACUAACUGCUGCUUCGGGAACAAUCUCCUUUUUUGCUGCAGAGUUUUGCACACACACCCCCUCAAGCCCCGAGAUGUUGACAGCAAAAUUCCCUUCAUCACCCAGCACAGGUGUCUGCUCUAGGAAAACAGGCUGAUUGCUCCCUGCUUUCUACCAUCUCUAGACCUGGGACACUCAUAGAGAUGUUUACUGUGGCCCUUGGAUGACUGUGAAAGGGUACACGACUAACAGUUACACUAGGACAACAGGCACAAACCAGGACGUCCCAAGAUGUAAGGUCACCGUACACUUGGCACACUAUAUAUAACAUAUUUGUUUACAAGUUGUCUGGACCAUAAGCUUCUAAAUGUCAGGGACCACACUGCUUUUAUGAUUUAUUUCUGUUCCCCUAGAAAUCAGGACAGGGUCACACAUUCAGUAGGGUGUUCAAUAAAUGUGCAGAAAAGGAAUAUUCUAGUUUAUAAACAGACCUUGUAAGUUUGGCUAGGGUGACAUAAAUUCCUAAAGCUUGACUCUUCCUGGGGAAGAGUUUGAAAUUUUGAACCAGCACAGAACGGACACCAGACCAGUGAUGGCCCCAGCAGGACAAAGCCUGGUCUUUAUAGAAAUGUCUUGAAAUUGGAGAAGCAAAUGCCCAGAUUUCGGAAAAUCAGUCAUCUGCAAGUUCCUGGACUUCCUGGGAACAACAAGAAAGCUGCGUGGAGAAGGGAGCUGGCUGCUCCCCCAGAGGGUAAAGAAGCAGAACUGGAACUAGCGUCCUUAUCUCUCACUCAGUAAGUCUGGGAGCUGUGAGCAAUCCAAGCCCAGCAGGGCCCCUCUUACAACAUAAGGAAGAGGAAACUGCUACAGAAGCACAGAAGAAAACGUGCUUCCGACAGCCAGUGAAAUAAGACAGCUAUGUGUCUGAGAAGAUGUGAUGGAGGGGGGCGGUGGGGCCAGGAUGGCGCUAGGGGAUCACAGCAAGAUCAAGUCACCAGAAGAAAACAGUGAAGGUCAGGCGGUCAGGCAGACCCACCAACAACAUAUCUGUGUUCUUUAGCAGGUUAAGAAGUUGGUGAGGAGUUCCUGCUGUGGCACAACAGGAUCAGCAGCAUCGUGGGAGCCCUGGGAUGCAGGUUCGAUCCCCAGCCCGGCACAGUGGGUUAAGGAUCUGGUGCUGCCACAGCUGUGCCUUAGGUCUUCACUGCUCCUCAGAUCUGAUCCCUGGCCUGGGAACUCCAUAUGCCGCAGGACAGCCAAAAAUGGAAAGAAAAAAAAAAAAAAAGAAAAAAAUUGGUAAGCAAAACAUACACCUAAUUCAAUUAAGAUGAAAAGCCAGGUUGAAGAUGUAACCAGAGGGGCUGGCAGCUCUGAAGGGCUGAGGAAAGGCACUGGUCUCUGCGGGAACUGACGGGACACAGGCAGCGAGGUUCCGGGGCCUCGGUGGGACCUCCACAGACCAUCUCCCCUCCCUGCCCUGCUUUUUGAGAGCCACUCUGGACACGGAAUGAGCUUCCAGAUUGGGGGUGGGGGGCACAUCUCCAUCAGCCUGACCUCUGAAUGUUCUCACUCACUGAGCUAGACAGCCUCAACCCUGAGCUGUUUUCUUCUCAAACGUUUAAGUGCAAAAGGCCUCUCAGAUGUCACCUUAACAGUACCUUGUAUAAUAAAUGUUCAUCUGAUCCCUACAUCAUUCUUUCCGGUAGAAGGACUGUUUCUCUCUCUCUCUCUCUCUCUCUCUCUCUCUCUCUCCUUUUUUUUUUUUUUUUUUUUUUUUUUUUGUCUUUUUAGGGCCUCGCCCAAGGCAUAUGGAGGUUCCCAGGCUAGGGGUCAAAUCAGAGCCACAGCUGCCAGCCUACACCACAGCUCACAGCAAUGCUGGAUAUUUAGCCCACUGAAAGAGGCCAAGGAUUGAACCCACAUCCUCAUGGAUACUAGUCGGGUUCGUUACCACUGAGCCACAAUGGGACCUCCCUGGCUUUCUCAUUCUCAACUGGUUGAGGAGGUAAGGAAAGCAGAAAGGACAGUCACCGGCCUGAAAUUGCAACCCAGCACUGAAUCUGGAGCCCUAGGUGCCUACCUGUCUGUACCCCUCGCUCUGUAUCAAACCAGAAGUAGAAAGCCCUUGCUGCAGCCACUCUGGGGUUGGAGGUUCCACUGGCUGGACCCUCCUCUUAGUCUGUUGCUGCUACUGCAGUCCUGGUGUCCCAUGUACCUGGCACAGGCUGCAACACCUGUCCAACACGACCUAGUCCAGCACAACUAGGAAUACCUCGCUCCACCCAUGAAGAACAGCCAUGACCAAUAGGGGCGUCUGAGAAUGUACGCAAAGACGUUCCCAUUACAGCCUUCCUGGCAAGAUGCAAUGUUAUCCUUUACCUGGAGGCUGUCCAUCACCCAGAGAAUUGCACUCUUCCCUCCAAAUAGGCCCUAAUCAGGGAAUGUGUACUAGGCAUUUACAUUGAACACUAUAUCCUAAAGAGAACCUCCUUUCUCAUUUUUUAAAAGGCAUUUACAUUGAACACUAUAUCCUAAAGAGAACCUCCUUUCUCAUUUUUUUUAGGUCCAUAGUUCACACUCUUUCAGAGCUCUAGGAAGAUGAAAAGGGAUCCAGAUUGCAUCCAUUAAAGGCUCGGUCAAGCUCCCCACCCAGGGACCUGCUUGAGGAACCUUGUCCAGGCUUUGCUCUGGUGAACAAUUCUCAUCAGAUCCACCCUCUCUCUCAUCUAUUUUGUUCUGCAUCAUAAAAGUAGACUUUAAUUUCCCCAGAAGGCACGUCAUUCAGCCUAGGUCACAGUCAGACCUAGAGGAAAACCGCCCCAUAGCAGCAUCAUCCCAUGUCAGCUUUCAGAGAAGUGGGCAAACAAACAAACAUACAUUAGAAUGCUUACACCAAACCAGUGUCACGUAAGAGCCUGUUCUAUGGGGUUUUUGUUCAUUCCCAGCAGAUAUUAUGACCCUAUGUUUACGGACUUUGUAAGAAAGUUCACUUUCACUCUCUCCCUAGGAUAUAUGAGCAUUAGAGAAACAGUUGCCAAGUAUACAAGAUAUAAACAGAAUUAGGUCAGCCUGUCCAUUCUACAUGAGGGAAAUAACCCCAAGCAUUGUCCCAAAUUCUUCCCACCAACUACCAUAGUUGAAAACAUGCACACCAAAAAUAAACACCAAAGAUCCGCUUAGAGCAGUGAACUAUCUUGAACUUUAGAAUUAUCUAUUCCAGUAGAUAAAGGUUGGUUUUUCCUGUUAAACAACAUUACUGCAAUCACAGAACGUGUUAAACAGACAAAUCAUCUUGUAAAAUUAUUGAUUUAA